AGAGUUUGAUCCUGGCUCAGCCUGAACGCUGGCGGCGUGGCUAAGACAUGCAAGUCGCACGGGGUAGCAAUACCCAGUGGCGAACGGGAGAGUAAUGAAUCGCUAACGUACCCCGGACUCUGGGAUAGCUGCCCGAAAGGGCAGGUAAUACCAGAUGAGACCACGGUCAGGCAUCUGACUGUGCUCAAAGGUCCGCCGGUCUGGGAGCGGGCGAUUUCGUAUCAGCUAGUUGGUGAGGUAACGGCUCACCAAGGCGACGACGCGUAGCCGGACUGAGAGGUUGGCCGGCCUCAUUGGGACUGAGACACUGCCCAGACUCCUACGGGGGGCUGCAGUAACGAAUCUUCCGCAAUGCACGAAAGUGUGACGGAGCGACGCCGCGUGUGGGACGAAGUCCUUCGGGAUGUAAACCACUGUCAGGGGUUACCAAGUUCUGAGGAGCCCCAGAGGAAGGCACGGCUAACUCUGUGCCAGCCGCCGCGGUAAUUC
Molecule: ribosomal RNA, 489 nt
Filed under: uncultured bacterium
Lineage: Bacteria
Description: bacterial SSU rRNA
Rfam family: Bacterial small subunit ribosomal RNA
Source: RNAcentral